UUUUAGCUGUUUUUUUGUGACUCACUUGUCUACAACUUUAGGGGCCAGUUUGGUACGGCGCGUGCGGCGCCACGGCGUGCCUAAGCUGCGGCGCCCGAAUCGGCCGCCACACCUGCGGCGGGAAAACUAUGGUGCGCCGUGGCGGCUUAGUCCACGCACCAAACAGCCCCUAGGUUUAGGUAUGUCAUCUAGAUAUAUCUAGUGACAAGCGUGUUCUUGGCCUAGUUAAUAGCCAUGGUUACUUGGACUCUGCAGUAUGCCUAGUGCCCUAGUGAGAAUUCAACAUGUACCUGUUCUUUCCAAGGGUACAUUCAGCUUCUGUGGAACAUGAGUGACACACGGGGGAUCCAGAAGUCAGAAGGCAUACCGAAAUCUGUCCUUUGAUUUAAUGUGGAUUAUAUAGAUGCUCAUCACUCAGCCAUGCUGUUGCAUAGUGCUAAAUAUGAUCUAGGUCCUGGUCUGGAUAAUGUUCUCCACAGCAUCUGCUGUGCGUGUGACCUGUGAUCAGUUCAGUCAGUUGACCAGGUUGUAAUUGACACUUGUUCCUCUGUUUCCGGCGCUUACUGCGCUGUUUCAGACUUAACCAUGGCUAUUAUGAAGUGAUGAAGCGUGGGGGUUUUUUGUCUGUCUACUUUAUCGCACAUGGGGGAGCUCUUUCCAGGAUUUAUAUGCCAUGUGUUUGUUGAUGUACAUGAUUCAUGUUCAAUGAGUUGAAUCCUCUUUCCAGCCUGCAUACUGGUUUGUCGCGGCGAG
RNAcentral lists this long non-coding RNA (753 nucleotides) under Zea mays. Its description in RNAcentral is "long non-coding RNA (ZMAY_LNC003933)". Lineage: Eukaryota; Viridiplantae; Streptophyta; Magnoliopsida; Poales; Poaceae. The record is from RNAcentral.